UUCCUGGCCUGGGGAGCCCUGCUACUGGCUGCCAUCCUUCAAGGCUCUGCUCGAAUGCCACCUCCUCCUUGAAGCCUUCUUGGAUUCAUCCUUGGCUCCCAGGAUCAAGAGGAGCCACUGGGGAGCCUGGCUUCUUCUCCUCCCGACAGACCUGGGCUGGCCGGGAACUCGAGGCCGUGUCCAGGCUGGUCCUCACACCGGCUGAGUGCCUAAGGGAGGGCCUGCCUGGGGUGUCCACUCUCGCCCACUGGCCUCCGUGGUUUCCGCGGGGCUGGGCGUUGCUGUCCGGAGCUUGACGAGCACUGGCUAUUUUAGUGCCUCCCGUGACCCAGCUCAUUUCUGCCACACCCUUUGGUGUCGGUGCUGACACCCCGUCUCCUCCUGCAGGUGGGUUAGCUCUCUCCCCACGGGCCGGGCGGCAGGCAGGACAGGUGUGUGGGCUGCUCCCGCCUCAAACCCAGAGGCAGCAACGGGUGACCAGGGGAUCAGAGCUGAGAGGGCGGGGGUCUCGGGGGGAACCUUCAGAAGAGUGAUCCUGGCUGCCUCGGCCAGGCCCCUGGGCACUGCUUCCCUUGGGUCUGGAAGACGCAGGGUGCCCACUUCUCAGGCCGUGUGGUUUGUAGGCCCCUGAACUGCUCCUGAGAGGCCAAGGGGGUGCCCGGUGCUGGGGUCCCCCCACGUGCCGGUGCCAGUGGGCACCUCUGAGUCAAGGAGGGCCCUGGUGAUCCCCAAUUCCGGGUGGAGUAGGGCUGGUCGGAGUCACCAGUGGAUGUUGUGGAAACGACGGCGGGGACUUCCCAGGAUAGGCCGUCGGGACGCCGCGGCUCCACCGGCCCUGGCCACUCGCUCUGGAGGAAGCAGAACUGAGGCCACCAGCCCACAGCCACGGAGGAGCCCCCACUUCCCGUCAGGCUGACAGACAGAGCCACCAGCCGAGCUGCUCUGAGACCCAGACCUACGGGAGGGCCAGCUCCUCUCCCGGGGCCGUGCUUUCACUCUCUCAGUCUUGGAGUCACUUGCUCCGUGGGAAUAGGGAGCUACAGCAGAUGUUAUCCUCCCGGGAAACUGAGGCCCGGGGGUGACAUGACUUACACACCGAACACGCUCAGAAGAAUCGGGGCCCGGAUUCGGGCUGGGUCCCUAGGUGCUGAGCUGCCCUCACACAGGACCCUGCAGCCGCGCUGGAGUUCCGGGGUCCUUGUCAGACACUGGGUGACGUCUGGAGGCCUCUCCCUGGCCACGUCGGGCCCAGCGGCCUGGUCUCGUGUCCGAAGGCCAUGCAGCUCCCCGCAUGUGUGUGGAAGAGCUGUGCGGGUCAGGAGGCCAGGCCGCCUUUGGAAAGCGGGUGGUCCUGAGUCCCGGGAUCUCUCAGGAGACAGAGUGGGGCUGGGCCGGGCCAGACCCCGAGGUCUGCGGAUGGAAAGUGUUUCUGGGCUCCAAAGGCUGCCUCUCUCCAUGGCAUGCAUCUGCCUCUGCCCAUAUCAGCUUUGCCAGAGGGAGCCUGGUGGGGAGGACAGACUUACUUAUACCCUGUUAUCUGUGGCAGAGCCGUGUCCCCAUCGCCAAGGGCUGGACUCAACCCGGAGCCUGACCCAGCACUGAGUUCUGCAUGAGGGUGGGCACUGCUUAAGCAUCUCCUGGUGGGCUUCUCCGUCCCGGAGCUUAUUAGGGUAACUUUGGAGCAGAAAUGACCUGGGCGGAUUCACGUCUGAAAGGAUCACUAAUUAGCUGUGCAGACUGGGGGCGCUGGAGGAGGUGGGAGGGUGCACAGGAUAAAGGGCAGGGGUGGGGCUGGGGCCAGCUCAGUGGCAUGGACUGGGGACUGGUCAGGUUUCAGAGACGUUUUGAGGGUUGAGUUGACAAGGUUUCCUACCAGCUCAGACGAUCCGUGCGAGAGAGAGCUCCCGGUCGGCUCUGAGACUCCUGGUCCCAGCAGCGGGGGGGAUGGUACCCCCGGGAACCCAGAGGUGGGUCUGGGGGUUUGUCUUGGUUGGGUCAAGAUUGACUCGUCUGUGGGGCUUCCAAGGGGAGGAGGUGCUGGACUGAAGGGCCCUGGUGUUCAGGAGGGGCCUCUGGGCUGGAGAUCCUGCUGUGGAAGGGUCAGCGUGGAGGCAGCGUGUCAGCCUGUCAGGCUGGGGGGGCUGCCCAAGGUGGGGCGGGACAGGAAAGGCCCUGGACCCACCAGUGUGCAGAGGUCGAGACUGGGCCUCUAGGGAGGACACUGCCCCCAGGACCGGCCUGGGGAAGGGGGCUCCCGUCCAGGGUAAGUGGGAGCUGGUGUCCCGGGUGCAAAGGGACCCUGUGGGGCUGCCGCUGUCCCCAGACCCAACAGGUGUGGCCCUGCUGCCCGCGGCUGCCCCGCCCAGGGCUUCUGUUGCAGGGCUGUCGGGGCACGGGGGUGGGGGGUGCUCUGUGCUGCUCACUGAGCGCCUGCUGUAUACCAAGCGUGGCGUCUAUGCAAACAGCACCCUGUGCAACCCUCUCCAUCACUGGCGGUGGGACACCGGCUGCGUUCGGCCACACGCCCAGCUCCGUGCUGAAGACGUCUCGGGCAUCACCUUUAACAUCUCGAAUCUACUUCUGCUGUAUUACCCACUCUGUCUUUGAGGCCAACAAGGCUCAGAGAGGGGAAGCACUUGCCAAACGUUGCACAGCCGACAGGGGUGGAGCUGUCCUCGAACCUAGGACUGGCUCCCCGGGCCCUGGGCCUGGGCUCUGUCCUGCCUACGAUGUGACUGCCCCCGAGGCCCCACGGCGGGGGGCGCGUGGAGGUGUCCAGAGGCUGCGGGGCCUCCUCCACAGCCCAGGGGUGCCCGCAGGUCACAGCAGGACAAGGAUACGACUAUCUGGCGUACUUUGCUCUCUCCUGUUGAGAAAAACAGCUGCAGACGAAGAGGCCUCCUCCAGCCGUCUCAGGCCGGGCCCCAGCCACCUCCCCGCAAAAGGGCAGCCGCACGUCCAAAGGGAGAAGGAGGUAGCCGGCAUCACUCUGAGCAGAGGCUGACGGAGGAGCGCCUUCUCGCAGCCACAGAUCGUGCACAAGACUUGGAGGGGGGGCCUCCUCCGUUCUCGCUGCCUCCUUCCUUGCCACCCUAUUUCCCCCUCCCCCUCUCCUUCCUUCUCUCCUGCUGCCCUCUCUGCCCCCUCUCUCCCCGUCCCCUCCUCCCCUGCCCCCACGUCUUGGCCUCCCCUCUCCUCCCCAGGCCUCCUGGCCUCAGGGAAGCCACCUUCCACGCCCCCAGUUGCUUCCCCUGGGGCGUGCCCAGGGGGCCAGGCCUGCGCGUGGAAGCCUCUUUCACAAGAAAGUCCUUUGCCCCAGACCUCACUUGGCCCCGGAGGGCAGGGAUGUCCCUCCCGGCUGCCCCAGCCAGAGGACACCUGCCCCCAGGAGGACUCGUUGAGCCACCUCGGCCCAGACCAGCCCCGUCCAGCCCCGUCCCUCCCCCAGAGGCCAGCCCACCAGGCCAAGGGCGCUGCCGCAAGGCAGCCCUUCCCUCCCACGCCAGGCCGGUGGGAACGCGGCCAGGCUGACGGCACGGCCGCAGGAGAAGAGGCCACGAUGCUCUCGGGGUCUUUACGUCACUUCUGCAUUUUCUUUCCACAACAGCCCUGGAACCGAAGUAUCAUCGUCCUGUUUUCCCCGAUGGGGAAACUGAGGCUUGGAGCUGUGAUAUGAUUUGCCCCGUCACAGGAAGCGACUGAGUUUCUUAGACAAGAAUAUUAAUCAUCGCAGGCCUGGAUGUUGGAUGAAAAGAUGCCAGACAAGCAGCCCUGCCCCCCGCCAACCUCAUGGACCAUGCUGCAUCUCUGCUAACGCUUAGAAAAUCAGGGCGCCAGGAAUCCCACUACUGGGCAUAUACCCUGAGAAAACCAUAAUUCAAAAGGAGUCAUGCACCACAAUGUUCAUUGCAGCUCUAUUUACAAUAGCCAGGACAUGGAAGCAACCAAAGUGUCCAUCGACAGAUGAAUGGAUGAAGAAGAUGUGGCACAUGUAUACAGUGGAAUAUUACUCAGCCAUAAAAAGAAACGAAAUUGAGAUAUUUGUAGUGAGGUGGAUGGACCUAGAGUCUGUCAUACAGAGUGAAGUAAGUCAGAAAGAGAAAAACAAAUACGGUAUGCUAACACAUAUAUAUGGAAUCUAAAAAAACAAAAAAAGGUUCUGAAGGACCUAGGGGCAGGACAGGAAUAAAGACGCAGAUGCAGAGAAUGGACUUGAGGACACGGGGAGGGGGAAGGGUAAGCUGGGACGAAGUGAGAGAGUGGCAUGGACAUACCUACACUACCAAAUGUAAAAUCGAUAGCUAGCGGGAAGCAGCCGCAUAGCACAGGGAGAUCAGCUCGGUGCU
RNA transcript from Balaenoptera acutorostrata (minke whale), 4346 nucleotides. RefSeq lists it as uncharacterized. The transcript is spliced from 3 exons. The record is from RefSeq and is a predicted model, not a curated record. Lineage: Eukaryota; Metazoa; Chordata; Mammalia; Artiodactyla; Balaenopteridae.